UCUAUCUCCGGGUUUAUGGGCAAGAUGCAUGAUGUUCCCCCAGCAAUAUAUUUUUUUCUAUCACUGAGUCUCUCUACAGGUCCUUGCCUCUCUCUCUCUCUCUCUCUCUCUCACUCUCUCUCCUCUCCCUGCCAACACUCUCCUUCUACGGUACGUCAGAAUGCGACCUUCCGCUCGAGUCUUGCCAAACGAGGAGCGCUCAUCAGCCAUGCAAAUGAGCGUGCAUCCAUUAGCACUGACAGAUGGCCUGCUGGAGCGCUGCUGAUGGAGGAGAGGAGAGCAGAAGAGACGAGAGGGACCGUUUCUCACCCG
Ictalurus punctatus (channel catfish) is the source of this 312-nucleotide long non-coding RNA. Lineage: Eukaryota; Metazoa; Chordata; Actinopteri; Siluriformes; Ictaluridae. The record is from Ensembl.